GAUGAAGAACGUAGCGAAAUGCGAAAAGUAAUGUGAAUUGCAGAAUUCAGUGAACCAUCGAAUCUUUGAACGCACAUUGCGCCCGCUGGAACUCCGGCGGGCACGCCUGUCCGAGCGUCAUUUCAACCCUCAGGCCCCCCUUCGCGGGCGGGCCUGGUGUUGGGCCCCGGCCGCUACCCUGCGGCCGUCCCCUAAACCCAGUGGCGGCCUCGCCGUGAUCCCUUGCGUAGUAAUGCACCUCGCACCGGAGAGCGCCGUGGCCACGCCGUAAAACCCCCAAUUUUCAAUGGUUGACCUCGGAUCAGGUGGGAAUACCCGCUGAACUUAAGCAUAUCAAUAAGCGGAGGA
Molecule: unclassified non-coding RNA, 348 nt
Filed under: soil metagenome
Description: partial contains 5.8S ribosomal RNA, internal transcribed spacer 2, and large subunit ribosomal RNA
Rfam family: 5.8S ribosomal RNA (bases 1-120)
Source: RNAcentral